UUUACUACAUAAACAUACAAUAAGAAAGUCUUAAUAUUCGAAGUAUUCUGUGGUGUUCUAUGAUACAGCUAGUGCGUUUUAGGUGACAAUUUUGACACAUCUCCACCACCUGGAAAUGACAGAGAAAUCGUGAAAAAUAUGGGGCAUCUCUUGUAUGAACCAUGUUAUUAAUUUCGUCAUCGAUAAAACGUUGAUAAGAUUGGAGAUCCAGUGCAAUCUUUCCAAUUUAUUGAAUUGCAUCAAAAUUAAGAAGUGAUAAAACGGGCCCAUUUAAUGUAUUGGCAAGAACGCAUUUCUUUGAAUACCCGGAUCAACGACGUCCCUAUACUGUUUUUCGAAAUUGCUACAUGGUCCUAACGGGGAAUAGUCUUUUAUUACAAUAGCCAAAUUGAUAAAAAAGAAAACGAAUUGUUAAAUUUUUCUGAUGAAAUCGACGUAAAAAUCGUUUAAGAAAAUAAUUGUGAAAAAACUUUUCUAGAAUUUUCUCUGGGUUCCAUUCUACAGCAGAUUGUUUGGUUAAGGAGUCUAAUCUAACCGUUAAUUUCCAUAAUCUUUCCAUGAAAAUGGAGUUGGAUUUACAUAGCAUUUAAUUUAUAUUUUAUUCCAAAAUUUACAUCGGUACUAUGUCCAAUAGGAAUCAUCAUUAAUUGACGCCAUACUGUUAAAUUGUUUACAACUAUGUCGCCAUAUUGAAAAUAGUGUUUAUGAAGAAGCUGUCUACAUAGUUAUUAUAUUAAAGGCCAGAAAUUUUGACACUUGACACUUGUAAAAUAUAAAUGUAUAACCAGGCAAUCUAACGAAUUGUCAAAAUUAACUGAUGUCAAUUUAAAAAUGGCCACCGUGGGAUAAAUAAAUGCCUUUGUACUAAGUUUCUGUAAGUUUUGUGAAGUUAUUUUUUAGACUUUAUUAUUCCCAGUUUAAUUCCGAAAUGGUUUUUUGAAAAAUUUCUACUUAUAUUUCCUCCUGGAAACGGAUAUAUUUUAGUUUUUUUUUUGAUAAUUGUGCUUAGUGUAGGUGAGCGGUAAAUAUGAUCUGAAAAGCUGUUUUCAUCUAAUGAAGAAAAGUUAACUCCACCUGAAGCUUUAUGUUUGUCUUUGUACUAAAAAACUCCCAUAAUUUAAUAAAUACAAGUGUUCUGAAUUUGAUAAA
Molecule: long non-coding RNA, 1149 nt
Organism: Diorhabda carinulata
Lineage: Eukaryota; Metazoa; Arthropoda; Insecta; Coleoptera; Chrysomelidae
Exons: 2
Source: RefSeq, a predicted model, not a curated record